AAAACUUCCUUUGAAGUGCGAUCGCAGCGAGAGGGAAGACGCCCUCGUGUCCGCGAGAGGUGCAGGAAUGAGAGUCCAGAGGUCGCCGUGACGGCCACAGGACGUGCCGAGGAGAUGGAGGAGGAGGAAUCCCUCACCUGCUCAGGUCUGACACAGAUCACUGGGUGACGCACGAGGUCGCGGCGAGCUGAAGUCAAAGUGAUCACAGAACACUGAGGAGGCCACGCUUCACCUCACUGGCGUCUGCAGGUGUGUUUGUGCUGCAGAUGAAGAAGAAGAGUGAGCUCGCCGCUGCGCACGAGCAGGGAGGAGUUAUUGGAUUUACUCAGCACACAAACAGUCUCAUUUCCUGGAGCGCCGACCCCGCCCAGCAACAGGAAACAGCUCGCCGCUCUCAGCAGGCGCACACAAACAUCCAUCAGACUCUGAGUCCGACACACCGGCCUUUCUACGGCGAGAGUGAACAACAAACACGCCGGAAGUCUUCACAGAGCUUCAUCGGGCAGUAAAGUCUUCACUCUGCACAACCAACCGGUUCUGUGGUUUGUGGGGGGAGAACAGAACCACCAGAGAACUGAAGUUCCAGGAACCUUUAAGGAACAUUACAGCAGCGUUAUCAGUAAACUAACCAGAACCUUUACAGAAGGUUAGUAAACCGGCCAGGAACGCCUCACCGAAGGUUCUGUUUACGUUCGAAGAACAUUCCCUAAACGAUCAGCUGA
Oreochromis niloticus (Nile tilapia) is the source of this 722-nucleotide long non-coding RNA. RefSeq lists it as uncharacterized. The transcript is spliced from 2 exons. The record is from RefSeq and is a predicted model, not a curated record. NCBI's taxonomy places the organism in Eukaryota, Metazoa, Chordata, Actinopteri, Cichliformes, Cichlidae.